Molecule: non-coding RNA, 69 nt
Filed under: unclassified sequences
Description: RAGATH-24 RNA
Rfam family: RAGATH-24 RNA
About the family: Environmental. Nearby to self-cleaving ribozyme genes
Source: Rfam by way of RNAcentral
UUGACAGCUCUUCCGCUAACUUCCCUCUGUGUGAUGCAGGGGUGCAUGAUGACAUAGCAAGGGGAGCAU